This 123-nucleotide ribosomal RNA is filed under the name Pteropus alecto (black flying fox). Lineage: Eukaryota; Metazoa; Chordata; Mammalia; Chiroptera; Pteropodidae. The record is from RNAcentral.
GUCUACGUCCAUGCUACCCUGAACAUGCUCGAUCUCAUCUGAGCUCGGAAGCUAAGCAGGGUCGGGCCUGGUUAGUACUUGGAUGGGAGACCACCUAGGAAGACCAGACGCUCGCUGUAGGCC